Molecule: ribosomal RNA, 492 nt
Filed under: uncultured bacterium
Lineage: Bacteria
Description: partial 16S ribosomal RNA
Rfam family: Bacterial small subunit ribosomal RNA
Source: RNAcentral
AGUGAACGCUGGCGGUAGGCCUAACACAUGCAAGUCGAACGGCAGCACAGUAAGAGCUUGCUCUUACGGGUGGCGAGUGGCGGACGGGUGAGGAAUACAUCGGAAUCUACUUUUUCGUGGGGGAUAACGUAGGGAAACUUACGCUAAUACCGCAUACGACCUACGGGUGAAAGCAGGGGAUCUUCUGACCUUGCGCGAUUGAAUGAGCCGAUGUCGGAUUAGCUAGUUGGCGGGGUAAAGGCCCACCAAGGCGACGAUCCGUAGCUGGUCUGAGAGGAUGAUCAGCCACACUGGAACUGAGACACGGUCCAGACUCCUACGGGAGGCAGCAGUGGGGAAUAUUGGACAAUGGGCGAAAGCCUGAUCCAGCCAUACCGCGUGGGUGAAGAAGGCCUUCGGGUUGUAAAGCCCUUUUGUUGGGAAAGAAAAGCGGCAGGUUAAUACCCCGCUGUUCUGACGGUACCCAAAGAAUAAGCACCGGCUAACUUCGUG